CAUAGUCGCUACACCCACAACCAUGAUCGAUGCCACCACUCCCGUCGUCAAAAUAUGGAAGCUACCACCGCCACCACUACAACAACCAAAACCAAUAUCUCACAGUCAUCAAACCAUUUGUACCACCAUUGCAUUGCAACUGCCAUAUCCACUAUCAUCACCACAAAAUCCAGAUCUGUCACCACUAGAUCCACCAUCUUUACCAUGACGAACCACCAUAUACCGUUGUCAUCAAAUCCACCACCACAUGCACCAACUACCGCUUCACAUCGCUGCACUCCCUGAUACACCAUCAUCACCGCUUCACAUAGCUAUGCUGCCAGAUCCACCAUCAUAACUACCACUACAACAUCACCACCACCACACAAAACACCACCCAAAUCUCUAGUGCACUGUCGGCACAACAAGGGUGGAUCAAUUUCACGGUGAUUCACUCUCAUUCUAGGGUGAAAUUGAUUGAGGGUGGGUGACGGGACUCAACGACAAUGGUGACUGGCAGUGAGCUUCACAACCACCAUCACCUAACACAAGACUGUGAGGUGGGGGUGGGUGGUGGUGCCAUGUCGGUCACUUGGGAUCAGUCUUCACAAUGGUUGGACGGGGUGGUGACGAUGGGUUACUACGCUUUCAUACCCAAGACUAUGAGGUGGGGUGGCAUCAGGAGCAUUUGUGCCACACCGGUGACGACGCCGCUACAAGUGGAGUCUAGAAGAGAG
RNAcentral lists this long non-coding RNA (716 nucleotides) under Olea europaea subsp. europaea. Lineage: Eukaryota; Viridiplantae; Streptophyta; Magnoliopsida; Lamiales; Oleaceae. The record is from RNAcentral.